GAUUAAGUUAUUAAGGGCGCACGGUGGAUGCCUUGGCACUAGAAGCCGAUGAAGGACGUUACUAACGACGAUAUGCUUUGGGGAGCUGUAAGUAAGCUUUGAUCCAGAGAUUUCCGAAUGGGGAAACCCAGCAUGAGUUAUGUCAUGUUAUCGAUAUGUGAAUACAUAGCAUAUCAGAAGGCACACCCGGAGAACUGAAACAUCUUAGUACCCGGAGGAAGAGAAAGAAAAUUCGAUUCCCUUAGUAGCGGCGAGCGAAACGGGAAGAGCCCAAACCAACAAGCUUGCUUGUUGGGGUUGUAGGACACUCUAUACGGAGUUACAAAGGACGACAUUAGACGAAUCAUCUGGAAAGAUGAAUCAAAGAAGGUAAUAAUCCUGUAGUCGAAAAUGUUGUCUCUCUUGAGUGGAUCCUGAGUACGACGGAGCACGUGAAAUUCCGUCGGAAUCUGGGAGGACCAUCUCCUAAGGCUAAAUACUCUCUAGUGACCGAUAGUGAACCAGUACCGUGAGGGAAAGGUGAAAAGCACCCCGGAAGGGGAGUGAAAUAGAACCUGAAACCGUGUGCUUACAAGUAGUCAGAGCCCGUUAAUGGGUGAUGGCGUGCCUUUUGUAGAAUGAACCGGCGAGUUACGAUUUGAUGCAAGGUUAAGCAGUAAAUGUGGAGCCGUAGCGAAAGCGAGUCUGAAUAGGGCGUUUAGUAUUUGGUCGUAGACCCGAAACCAGGUGAUCUACCCUUGGUCAGGUUGAAGUUCAGGUAACACUGAAUGGAGGACCGAACCGACUUACGUUGAAAAGUGAGCGGAUGAACUGAGGGUAGCGGAGAAAUUCCAAUCGAACCUGGAGAUAGCUGGUUCUCUCCGAAAUAGCUUUAGGGCUAGCCUCAAGUGAUGAUUAUUGGAGGUAGAGCACUGUUUGGACGAGGGGCCCCUCUCGGGUUACCGAAUUCAGACAAACUCCGAAUGCCAAUUAAUUUAACUUGGGAGUCAGAACAUGGGUGAUAAGGUCCGUGUUCGAAAGGGAAACAGCCCAGACCACCAGCUAAGGUCCCAAAAUAUAUGUUAAGUGGAAAAGGAUGUGGCGUUGCCCAGACAACUAGGAUGUUGGCUUAGAAGCAGCCAUCAUUUAAAGAGUGCGUAAUAGCUCACUAGUCGAGUGACACUGCGCCGAAAAUGUACCGGGGCUAAACAUAUUACCGAAGCUGUGGAUUGUCCUUUGGACAAUGGUAGGAGAGCGUUCUAAGGGCGUUGAAGCAUGAUCGCAAGGACAUGUGGAGCGCUUAGAAGUGAGAAUGCCGGUGUGAGUAGCGAAAGACGGGUGAGAAUCCCGUCCACCGAUUGACUAAGGUUUCCAGAGGAAGGCUCGUCCGCUCUGGGUUAGUCGGGUCCUAAGCUGAGGCCGACAGGCGUAGGCGAUGGAUAACAGGUUGAUAUUCCUGUACCACCUAUAAUCGUUUUAAUCGAUGGGGGGACGCAGUAGGAUAGGCGAAGCGUGCGAUUGGAUUGCACGUCUAAGCAGUAAGGCUGAGUAUUAGGCAAAUCCGGUACUCGUUAAGGCUGAGCUGUGAUGGGGAGAAGACAUUGGUCUUCGAGUCGUUGAUUUCACACUGCCGAGAAAAGCCUCUAGAUAGAAAAUAGGUGCCCGUACCGCAAACCGACACAGGUAGUCAAGAUGAGAAUUCUAAGGUGAGCGAGCGAACUCUCGUUAAGGAACUCGGCAAAAUGACCCCGUAACUUCGGGAGAAGGGGUGCUCUUUAGGGUUAACGCCCAGAAGAGCCGCAGUGAAUAGGCCCAAGCGACUGUUUAUCAAAAACACAGGUCUCUGCUAAACCGUAAGGUGAUGUAUAGGGGCUGACGCCUGCCCGGUGCUGGAAGGUUAAGAGGAGUGGUUAGCUUCUGCGAAGCUACGAAUCGAAGCCCCAGUAAACGGCGGCCGUAACUAUAACGGUCCUAAGGUAGCGAAAUUCCUUGUCGGGUAAGUUCCGACCCGCACGAAAGGCGUAACGAUUUGGGCACUGUCUCAACGAGAGACUCGGUGAAAUCAUAGUACCUGUGAAGAUGCAGGUUACCCGCGACAGGACGGAAAGACCCCGUGGAGCUUUACUGUAGCCUGAUAUUGAAAUUCGGCACAGCUUGUACAGGAUAGGUAGGAGCCUUUGAAACGUGAGCGCUAGCUUACGUGGAGGCGCUGGUGGGAUACUACCCUAGCUGUGUUGGCUUUCUAACCCGCACCACUUAUCGUGGUGGGAGACAGUGUCAGGCGGGCAGUUUGACUGGGGCGGUCGCCUCCUAAAAGGUAACGGAGGCGCUCAAAGGUUCCCUCAGAAUGGUUGGAAAUCAUUCAUAGAGUGUAAAGGCAUAAGGGAGCUUGACUGCGAGACCUACAAGUCGAGCAGGGUCGAAAGACGGACUUAGUGAUCCGGUGGUUCCGCAUGGAAGGGCCAUCGCUCAACGGAUAAAAGCUACCCCGGGGAUAACAGGCUUAUCUCCCCCAAGAGUUCACAUCGACGGGGAGGUUUGGCACCUCGAUGUCGGCUCAUCGCAUCCUGGGGCUGUAGUCGGUCCCAAGGGUUGGGCUGUUCGCCCAUUAAAGCGGUACGCGAGCUGGGUUCAGAACGUCGUGAGACAGUUCGGUCCCUAUCCGUCGUGGGCGUAGGAAAUUUGAGAGGAGCUGUCCUUAGUACGAGAGGACCGGGAUGGACAUACCUCUGGUGUACCAGUUGUCGUGCCAACGGCAUAGCUGGGUAGCUAUGUGUGGACGGGAUAAGUGCUGAAAGCAUCUAAGCAUGAAGCCCCCCUCAAGAUGAGAUUUCCCAACUUCGGUUAUAAGAUCCCUCAAAGAUGAUGAGGUUAAUAGGUUCGAGGUGGAAGCAUGGUGACAUGUGGAGCUGACGAAUACUAAUCGAUCGAAGACUUAAUCAA
RNAcentral lists this ribosomal RNA (2922 nucleotides) under Staphylococcus aureus. Its description in RNAcentral is "23S ribosomal RNA". It matches the Rfam family "Bacterial large subunit ribosomal RNA". The record is from RNAcentral. Lineage: Bacteria; Bacillati; Bacillota; Bacilli; Caryophanales; Staphylococcaceae.